CGCCAGGUCUCCCUGGCUCUGGACACGUCCAACGUGAUGGUCAAGAAGCAGGUGUUUGAGCUGCUGGCCGCCCUGUGCAUCUACUCGC
This is a long non-coding RNA of Myotis davidii, 88 nucleotides long. RefSeq lists it as uncharacterized. The record is from RefSeq and is a predicted model, not a curated record. The transcript has 3 exons. Lineage: Eukaryota; Metazoa; Chordata; Mammalia; Chiroptera; Vespertilionidae.